GUGAACGCCCCUCGUGGGCUUGAACCACUCCAAACCUCUGUGAACCGUGCCCCUCUCGGGGCUAUCUUACAAACACGGUGUGAUGAACGUCAUAACUUUAACAAACA
Molecule: unclassified non-coding RNA, 107 nt
Filed under: uncultured Tremellales
Lineage: Eukaryota; Fungi; Basidiomycota; Tremellomycetes; Tremellales
Description: sequence contains ITS1
Source: RNAcentral